Molecule: ribosomal RNA, 254 nt
Filed under: uncultured bacterium
Lineage: Bacteria
Description: partial 16S ribosomal RNA
Rfam family: Bacterial small subunit ribosomal RNA
Source: RNAcentral
UACGUAGGGGCCUAGCGUUGUCCGGAAUUAUUGGGCGUAAAGAGCUCGUAGGCGGUUCGGCAAGUCGGAUGUGAAAUCUCCACGCUUAACGUGGAGGGGCCAUUCGAAACUGCUGUGACUCGAGUCCGGUAGGGGAGUGUGGAAUUCCCGGUGUAGCGGUGAAAUGCGCAGAUAUCGGGAGGAACACCAGUAGCGAAGGCGGCACUCUGGGCCGGUACUGACGCUGAGACGCGAAAGCGUGGGGAGCGAACAGG